This 537-nucleotide ribosomal RNA is filed under the name Pseudoalteromonas tetraodonis. RNAcentral describes it as "bacterial SSU rRNA". It matches the Rfam family "Bacterial small subunit ribosomal RNA", at positions 9 to 526 of the family's 1533-position model. Lineage: Bacteria; Pseudomonadati; Pseudomonadota; Gammaproteobacteria; Alteromonadales; Pseudoalteromonadaceae. The record is from RNAcentral.
GAGUUUGAUCAUGGCUCAGAUUGAACGCUGGCGGCAGGCCUAACACAUGCAAGUCGAGCGGUAACAUUUCUAGCUUGCUAGAAGAUGACGAGCGGCGGACGGGUGAGUAAUGCUUGGGAACAUGCCUUGAGGUGGGGGACAACAGUUGGAAACGACUGCUAAUACCGCAUAAUGUCUACGGACCAAAGGGGGCUUCGGCUCUCGCCUUUAGAUUGGCCCAAGUGGGAUUAGCUAGUUGGUGAGGUAAUGGCUCACCAAGGCGACGAUCCCUAGCUGGUUUGAGAGGAUGAUCAGCCACACUGGGACUGAGACACGGCCCAGACUCCUACGGGAGGCAGCAGUGGGGAAUAUUGCACAAUGGGCGCAAGCCUGAUGCAGCCAUGCCGCGUGUGUGAAGAAGGCCUUCGGGUUGUAAAGCACUUUCAGUCAGGAGGAAAGGUUAGUAGUUAAUACCUGCUAGCUGUGACGUUACUGACAGAAGAAGCACCGGCUAACUCCGAGCUCAGCGACAGAAGAAGCACCGGCUAACUCCGUGCC